Molecule: ribosomal RNA, 433 nt
Filed under: uncultured bacterium
Lineage: Bacteria
Description: partial 16S ribosomal RNA
Rfam family: Bacterial small subunit ribosomal RNA
Source: RNAcentral
AACGAACGCUGGCGGCAUGCCUAACACAUGCAAGUCGAACGAGACCUUCGGGUCUAGUGGCGCACGGGUGCGUAACGCGUGGGAACCUGCCCUUAGGUUCGGAAUAACUCCCCGAAAGGGGUGCUAAUACCGGAUAAUGUCUUCGGACCAAAGAUUUAUCGCCUUUGGAUGGGCCCGCGUUGGAUUAGCUAGUUGGUAGGGUAAAAGCCUACCAAGGCGACGAUCCAUAGCUGGUCUGAGAGGAUGAUCAGCCACACUGGGACUGAGACACGGCCCAGACUCCUGCGGGAGGCAGCAGUGGGGAAUAUUGGAGAAUGGGCGAAAGCUUGAACCACCAUUGCCGCGUGAGUGAUGAAGGCCUUAGGGUUGUAAAGCUCUGGUACCCGGGCUGAUAAGGACAGAACCGGGAGAAUAAGCUCGGGCGAACUCCGUG